Molecule: long non-coding RNA, 948 nt
Organism: Carassius gibelio (silver crucian carp)
Lineage: Eukaryota; Metazoa; Chordata; Actinopteri; Cypriniformes; Cyprinidae
Exons: 3
Source: RefSeq, a predicted model, not a curated record
UCUGUAUAUAAUUCAAUUUUAUUUUCUCUCCCCUUUUUUAUUAUUUUUAUUUUUAGCUGAAAAGACGUAAAGGCAGUCAGCCCAGUGGUGUUUCUGGAGAGGGAUUCCUUCAGAAAUGGAGAAGACAGAAAGCUGCGGAGGCAGAUAUUUGCAGCAUGUUCGAGUGAGCAUGAUGACCACGAGUGUGUGUCGAACUUUUCAUGACCUGAUGACUGUGUUUCCCAAUCCUGAUCCUGGAGAACCCCAGCACUGCACGGUUUUGGUGUCUCUCUUAUCUGCCUUGGAGUCUUCACUGAUGAGCUGAUGAGUUGAAUCAGGAUUGUUUGAGGAUAACACUGCAGUUCUCCAUCAUGCACAAGGACUCACCUCGUUAACUCUUUAUCCCCCACACACACAGAUAUGGUCCCUGGAUCAGUGAUUAGACUUUGCAGUGGUUUGAUUUUUGCAGAUGUAACUUUGUUUUAUUUAUAAGCUCAUAAUGAAUACAUUACAGAACCAGUGAUGAAAACAAUAGUUAAAAAUAGUAUUUUUCGUAUUGAUAAAGCAUUUUGUUCUCUUUUUCAAGCUUCAUACAGUGAACUUUUUAGACUUUAAUUAAGAGUUUUAGUAAAGGAGAUAUUCAUACACAGUCAUCCCCUAGCUCCAGUCAUUAAGUGAAUUCAUGAUGUUAUGUCAAAGCUAGCAGGUGUUUGUUUUCCUGAACACUUUCUCUGUCUUCCAUUGUUCAGACAAUCAGUGUUUAUUUGAUGCUGUGCUGAUAGAGUUUUAUAGAUGAUAUUGCACACUUGACAUGCAUGUCUUCAUGGUGUUUUUUUGUGAGUUUGAAACAUUUACAUUGUGUUGUAUAACAUUUUGGUCAAUUUAAUUUUUUUAAUAAAAUUGAUCUUUUUCCAGUGUUCUCUGAAAGACAUACUGUAUUUACUGUUUUGUUUUUUAAUAAAAGCAUUU